Molecule: ribosomal RNA, 373 nt
Filed under: uncultured organism
Description: partial 16S ribosomal RNA
Rfam family: Bacterial small subunit ribosomal RNA
Source: RNAcentral
GUAGGUGGCAAGCGUUGUCCGGAAUUAUUGGGCGUAAAGCGCGCGCAGGCGGUCCUUUAAGUCUGAUGUGAAAGCCCACGGCUCAACCGUGGAGGGUCAUUGGAAACUGGGGGACUUGAGUACAGAAGAGGAAAGCGGAAUUCCAAGUGUAGCGGUGAAAUGCGUAGAGAUUUGGAGGAACACCAGUGGCGAAGGCGGCUUUCUGGUCUGUAACUGACGCUGAGGCGCGAAAGCGUGGGGAGCAAACAGGGAUUAGAUACCCUGGUAGUCCACGCCGUGAACGGUGAGUGCUAAGUGUUAGGGGGCUUCCGCCCCCUUAGUGCUGCAGCUAACGCAUUAAGCACUCCGCCUGGGGAGUACGGCCGCAAGGCUG